This 253-nucleotide ribosomal RNA is filed under the name uncultured bacterium. RNAcentral describes it as "partial 16S ribosomal RNA". It matches the Rfam family "Bacterial small subunit ribosomal RNA", at positions 524 to 776 of the family's 1533-position model. The record is from RNAcentral.
UACGGAGGGUGCAAGCGUUAUCCGGAUUUACUGGGUUUAAAGGGUGCGUAGGCGGGCUUUUAAGUCAGUGGUGAAAACUCCGAGCUUAACUCGGAAACUGCCAUUGAUACUAUUAGUCUUGAAUUUAGUUGAGGUUGGCGGAAUGUGUCGUGUAGCGGUGAAAUGCUUAGAUAUGACACAGAACACCGAUUGCGAAGGCAGCUGGCUAAACUAAAAUUGACGCUGAGGCACGAAAGUGUGGGGAGCAAACAGG